GAUGAACGCUGGCGGCGUGCCUAAUACAUGCAAGUCGAGCGAACGGACGAGAAGCUUGCUUCUCUGAUGUUAGCGGCGGACGGGUGAGUAACACGUGGAUAACCUACCUAUAAGACUGGGAUAACUUCGGGAAACCGGAGCUAAUACCGGAUAAUAUUUUGAACCGCAUGGCUCAAAAGUGAAAGACGGUCUUGCUGUCACUUAUAGAUGGAUCCGCGCUGCAUUAGCUAGUUGGUAAGGUAACGGCUUACCAAGGCAACGAUGCAUAGCCGACCUGAGAGGGUGAUCGGCCACACUGGAACUGAGACACGGUCCAGACUCCUACGGGAGGCAGCAGUAGGGAAUCUUCCGCAAUGGGCGAAAGCCUGACGGAGCAACGCCGCGUGAGUGAUGAAGGUCUUCGGAUCGUAAAACUCUGUUAUUAGGGAAGAACAUAUGCGUAAGUAACUGUGCACAUCUUGACGGUACCUAAUCAGAAAGCCACGGCUAACUACGUG
This 497-nucleotide ribosomal RNA is filed under the name uncultured bacterium. RNAcentral describes it as "partial 16S ribosomal RNA". It matches the Rfam family "Bacterial small subunit ribosomal RNA", at positions 28 to 507 of the family's 1533-position model. The record is from RNAcentral.